RNAcentral lists this ribosomal RNA (470 nucleotides) under fungal sp. KL-2011. RNAcentral's name for it is "eukaryotic LSU rRNA". The stretch from base 118 to 271 matches the Rfam family "5.8S ribosomal RNA". The record is from RNAcentral. Lineage: Eukaryota; Fungi.
GCGGGCCGCGGUCCUCCGCGGCCGCCCCCCUCCCCGGGGGGGUGGCCAGCGCCCGCCAGAGGACCAUCAAACUCCAGUCAGUAAACGAUGCAGUCUGAAAAACAUUUAAUAAACUAAAACUUUCAACAACGGAUCUCUUGGUUCUGGCAUCGAUGAAGAACGCAGCGAAAUGCGAUAAGUAAUGUGAAUUGCAGAAUUCAGUGAAUCAUCGAAUCUUUGAACGCACAUUGCGCCCUUUGGUAUUCCGAAGGGCAUGCCUGUUCGAGCGUCAUUACAACCCUCAAGCUCUGCUUGGUAUUGGGCACCGUCCUUUGCGGGCGCGCCUCAAAGACCUCGGCGGUGGCGUCUUGCCUCAAGCGUAGUAGAACAUACAUCUCGCUUCGGAGCGCAGGGCGUCGCCCGCCGGACGAACCUUCUGAACUUUUCUCAAGGUUGACCUCGGAUCAGGUAGGGAUACCCGCUGAACUUAA